This 465-nucleotide ribosomal RNA is filed under the name Vreelandella stevensii. Its description in RNAcentral is "partial 16S ribosomal RNA". It matches the Rfam family "Bacterial small subunit ribosomal RNA", at positions 338 to 795 of the family's 1533-position model. The record is from RNAcentral. Lineage: Bacteria; Pseudomonadati; Pseudomonadota; Gammaproteobacteria; Oceanospirillales; Halomonadaceae.
CCUACGGGUGGCUGCAGUGGGGAAUAUUGGACAAUGGGCGAAAGCCUGAUCCAGCCAUGCCGCGUGUGUGAAGAAGGCCUUCGGGUUGUAAAGCACUUUCAGUGGGGAAGAAAGCCUUGGGGCUAAUACCCUCGAGGAAGGACAUCACCCACAGAAGAAGCACCGGCUAACUCCGUGCCAGCAGCCGCGGUAAUACGGAGGGUGCGAGCGUUAAUCGGAAUUACUGGGCGUAAAGCGCGCGUAGGCGGUCUGAUAAGCCGGUUGUGAAAGCCCCGGGCUCAACCUGGGAACGGCAUCCGGAACUGUCCGGCUAGAGUGCAGGAGAGGAAGGUAGAAUUCCCGGUGUAGCGGUGAAAUGCGUAGAGAUCGGGAGGAAUACCAGUGGCGAAGGCGGCCUUCUGGACUGACACUGACGCUGAGGUGCGAAAGCGUGGGUAGCAAACAGGAUUAGAUACCCGAGUAGUC